CGCUGGCGGCAGGCCUAACACAUGCAAGUCGAGCGGCAGCGGGAAAGUAGCUUGCUACUUUUGCCGGCGAGCGGCGGACGGGUGAGUAAUGCCUGGGGAUCUGCCCAGUCGAGGGGGAUAACUACUGGAAACGGUAGCUAAUACCGCAUACGCCCUACGGGGGAAAGCAGGGGACCUUCGGGCCUUGCGCGAUUGGAUGAACCCAGGUGGGAUUAGCUAGUUGGUGAGGUAAUGGCUCACCAAGGCGACGAUCCCUAGCUGGUCUGAGAGGAUGAUCAGCCACACUGGAACUGAGACACGGUCCAGACUCCUACGGGAGGCAGCAGUGGGGAAUAUUGCACAAUGGGGGAAACCCUGAUGCAGCCAUGCCGCGUGUGUGAAGAAGGCCUUCGGGUUGUAAAGCACUUUCAGCGAGGAGGAAAGGUUGGUAGCUAAUAACUGCCAGCUGUGACGUUACUCGCAGAAGAAGCACCGGCUAA
RNAcentral lists this ribosomal RNA (479 nucleotides) under Aeromonas veronii. Its description in RNAcentral is "bacterial SSU rRNA". It matches the Rfam family "Bacterial small subunit ribosomal RNA", at positions 34 to 500 of the family's 1533-position model. Lineage: Bacteria; Pseudomonadati; Pseudomonadota; Gammaproteobacteria; Aeromonadales; Aeromonadaceae. The record is from RNAcentral.